UAGUUUGCAGCUGGUCUUAAACCACAACAGAAAUUAUAUAAGUAUUUUCAGCUGCUGUUUCUGUGCUUUUGUUGAUGGAAAGACUCCUGAUUACAGUGUUUGAUGGGUGCUCUUACAAUGCUCUGAUGGCCAUCUACAGUACUUUAGGGCAGACAAGGUUAUAGAGGGAUAACUCAUGUUUUCUAAAUGCAUUUUUUGAACAUAAGGAAUAUUCAUGGCAAAACGACUCAUGUCUGCCUAGUGAGACACUUUUCAGUGAAUUGCUUUCAGAACCUUAUUACAUGCAGUUGUAUGUGGCAUCAAAGCAGCCUCUUUUUGAGUGUAUGUUUUGAUGCAGUGCAAAAGGUUACUUUAUAAAACAUCUAACACAUGAUGUUUCAUUUAUUCAAGCAAAUAUCUAGAUAAUAUCAUAUGAACUUAAUGGAAAGGAUUUAGUAUGCUGUUAGUAACAAAAAUUCUCUAGUAGUAAUAACAGGAUAACCAGUCAUUAUAAAGGAACUAAGCUUAUCUGUUGGACUUGACCCCAUCCUGGGGACAUUUCCCCAUAUCUAAAGGAAUCUAUGUCUGACUUGGGUUCUCCAUGAGUUGAGUUCACUUCACUUCACUGAUUCUUAUCACUUUGAUUCUUGUUUUAUUCAUCUCUAGUUACAGGCAUAGGAAAACUUUUUAAGGCCAGCUCGUUGGGCAGCGAAGGGCUUUUGAUGAGUUAAAAAUGGUGUUUCAGAUAGAGGUGCGAUUAUAUUUCCUUAAGGAAGAUUGCAGGAACAAAUGAAGCAAGUACAUUUUUUAGACCACGGUACAAAGGAAAUUCUAUAGUAAAAUGAAUUAUUUCUAUGUAGAUGAGAGGGAAGUGACAGAUGAAUAUAGAGGAUAAAUGAACAAGUUUUUAAUGUGCAAUAUUGAUUUCUUUUUCAGAAAAUUAAAUAGCUAGUCCAUUCUUUUUUUUUUUUUUUUUUGAAAGAGGGUAAGAAUGUACAAUAAGCUAUCAGUAUUAAAACUAGUUGCUGGCACUUUAUUGAAAUAUAAUGCUGAAAUGCAUAAUGGACUUGUGUUUCAGAUGCUAUACUCAGUUUUGUAAAUAAUAGAUCUGCUGUUUUGUUUAGUGUUGCUUAUGCAUCUUCUUUGUGGUGUAUUGUCAAGCAACCUUUUUGACUGUUUAGGAUAUUUCCAUUUUCGAUUUCAUUAAUGUUCAAUGCAUGAAAUAUUCCCCAUAAAGACUUUCCUAAGUGUAGUAGAGACAGCAAAAGGGGUUGUGGCAAUCUGUAGGAUGGACUCAGCUCAGACAACUUUAUAACAGCUACAGAUCAAGUUUUCAUUGUGAGGCCACCUAUUAAAUUUAUAAACGCAUGAGGAGUUCAAAGAAAAAAAAUCUCUAAGAUUAAAUACCCAGAGAUAUUUUAGUCAAAUUGGUGUACCUGUUAUCUCUUCCAGGUGUUGCAUUGAAGAGCUUUUGCUUCUGUGUUCUGCAAUUAAGCUAGUAAGGCAGGAAAUAAAUGAACAUAAAGCAAAGUGGAUUUUCAGAUGUUCUUUAUUUUUAGACUGAAAAAAUUUCUGAUGAAGAUUGUGACAUUUUCAUUAAGUUUGUCAUGAAGUUGGUUUUCCUAACAUUUGAGCUCAGUUUUAUUUUUUUCAGGCCACUGGACAAAUCAAACCAGUGAAAAAACAUCGUAUUUUUUUACCAAAUAAAACAUUUUUGAAAAUUUUGAUGGCAUGUAUUCAUUUAUCAUAAUUAAAUGCAAAUGUACUUGUACAAAGACUCUAAGUAAAAAGAAAGGAGCAUCUGACUAUUUUCUGAUACAUCUGAUUAUAUAUUUUCUAGCAUAGGAAAUACUUGACAUUUUCAAAAUGCCAUCCAUAUCUUGCUUCAAAUCCACACUGGCAAGUUUCUGUGAUCACUUGAAUGUGUAUUUUUCUGGUUACAUCUGUAAUCACAAAAUCAUAGAAUGGUUUGAGUUGGAAGGGUCCUUAAAGAUCACCUAGUCCAAUCCCUCUGCCAUGUGCAGGAGCACCUUCCACUAGCUCACAUCACUCAAAGCCCCAUCCAACCUGGUCUUGACCAAUUCCAGGGAUGGGGCAUGCACACCUUCUCUGGACAACCUGUUCCUGUGCAUCACUACCCCCUGAGUAAAGCAUUUCUUCUUAAUAUCUCUUCUAUUUUAAGUUAAAAUUGUUCCUCCUUCUCUGAUCACUAUCUGCCCAUGUAAAAAGUCACUCUCACAGCAAACUCAGGUGAGCACAUCUGGAACACACGUGAGUCUUCUAAUGAGUAACAUGAAACCCUGAAUUUUCAAUCACAACAUGUUUGUUAUAAAUGCCAAAAAAUUCUGAAUGUCAUACCUUGGAGCAGCCAGCCAUUCAUGGGGUUAGGCUUUUCACCUGCUGGUUAUCUCACAGCCUGCUUGAGAACAGCUCUCACCCAGGGCAUGGAGGGUGCAGAUGGUGAUGCUCUUGACAACUGACUUGUGUAGAAAGAAAAAACCUUAACACCGCACCUGGGUGAUGUAUGUGGAAAGUCAGAUUCUCAGUGUGUCUAUCAGUUCUCAACUUUUUAUGUGGUAAGUAGGAUUCUUAAGCCAUUGUGGUCCCUGAUUGAUUCUUUUUACUAUAUGUUGCAUGCAGUUGUAAGAAAAUAAGCCUAAAUAAUAACAUUAAAAGCUUACAAAAUUAAAAGGUUACUUAUUUAUCAGUACUUCAUGUCCUGGCACCAGCACCCUCAAUUCGAAGACCAUUUUUCUGUGAUUUCAGAAAUGUUCUUUAUACCAGAAGGGCUAAGUUGCUUUCCCCAUACUGUAUGUAUUUAAAACAAAAGUAAAUAUCAUAGCAAAAAUCUUUGCAUGAGAUGAUUAAAUAAGUAUCUGCUGUAAUAAUUGUUUGUUAAAGAUAAAAUAGGAGGUCAGCAGACCUCUUUGACAUCAGGGAAGUAGUUAAAAGAAGUUGGAGGAUGUGUUGGUGCUAAGCGGUACAUGUACAAAGGCUGGCCCACUGCAAUUUUAAACUGUAGAAAAAGACUAAAAUUUAUGACUCAUGGAAGGAUUGAUGGAAGACCUUAUGCAAAAAUAUUACUGAUGAGAAAAAAGAGCUGGGAUAGACUGCAACAGCUAAAUAUACUUUGGCAGUUGAAGCAUGCAAAUAUAUAAUAAGACAAUCAAGAGGAGAAAAUGAUGUAUUCCUAGCUUUUGGACUUUAUUCCAUAAAAACAAGAAAAAAACCAAUACUUUAAAAACAGAGGAAAUACAAAGGACUAUUCUAUCCAUCAGCACUAUAAGGUAACAUUUAUAAAUAUAUAAUACAGAAAGAAAAUGAAAGAGUAGCUUUUACAAACUAUACUUUACUGAUGGAUUUUCAAAGUCUGAGGAAGCACAGUAAGAAUCACCACAGUUUGUGGUUACUCUGGCACUUUUUUGAAAUAUUCAGAUGCCAGCUUGAACUCCCCCGGCUAUACUUCAGCCGGGGCAGCAUUUACAUUCUCCUCAUCUACCUUUUACUUGAGUUUCUUUUGAAGAAUUAUCCUUUUCUUUCCUGUCUGAAAACCAGCCCUGCAAUGUUGCAAGAAUGAAAUGGAUGUCGUGGACUCUUGACCUCAAGGGUCAGAUCCCUUCAGAGGUGGCUGAGACGAUCCAUACACAUUAAGCAAAAAAUUCCAGCUGGAGUGAACUCAGAGCAUUGGGGUGCUUAUUCAUGGUGUUAAAUUGCUCUGUGUGGAUGCCUACAAAGCGGAACAUUCCUCACUGCCUGCACAAGUAAAGCAGGAGCUUCACUUGGCACGAAUGAGUUUUUAAGAGCAGAGAAGCUACUGUCGUAUUCAAUUGGACUCAGCCUGUCUCCACUGCUAUACCAGGGAUGUGAAGUAGCUGCCACUUGGACUGGCUGUGUUGGGACUGAAUCAGAAGAGGAUUGAUUUAGAUACAAGUGGCCCAGCAGGAGCAAGGAGAUGAGGUGCUCUAACUCUUCCAGAGAACAGAAUUAACAUGG
Molecule: long non-coding RNA, 3972 nt
Organism: Pseudopipra pipra
Lineage: Eukaryota; Metazoa; Chordata; Aves; Passeriformes; Pipridae
Exons: 4
Source: RefSeq, a predicted model, not a curated record